UGAACGCUGGCGGCAUGCUUUACACAUGCAAGUCGAACGGUAACAGGCCUUCGGGUGCUGACGAGUGGCGAACGGGUGAGUAAUGCAUCGGAACGUACCCAGAGGUGGGGGAUAACGCAGCGAAAGCUGUGCUAAUACCGCAUGUGAUCUGAGGAUGAAAGCGGGGGACCGAGCAGCAAUGUUUGGCCUCGCGCCUUUGGAGCGGCCGAUGUCGGAUUAGCUAGUUGGUGGGGUAAAGGCCUACCAAGGCGACGAUCCGUAGCUGGUCUGAGAGGACGACCAGCCACAAUGGGACUGAGACACGGCCCAGACUCCUACGGGAGGCAGCAGUGGGGAAUUUUGGACAAUGGGCGCAAGCCUGAUCCAGCAAUGCCGCGUGCGGGAAGAAGGCCUUCGGGUUGUAAACCGCUUUUGGCAGGAACGAAACGGUGUCCGCUAAUACCGGGCGCUAAUGACGGUACCUGCAGAAUAAGCACCGGCUAACUACGUG
Molecule: ribosomal RNA, 490 nt
Filed under: uncultured bacterium
Lineage: Bacteria
Description: partial 16S ribosomal RNA
Rfam family: Bacterial small subunit ribosomal RNA
Source: RNAcentral